RNAcentral lists this transfer RNA (79 nucleotides) under Asaia bogorensis NBRC 16594. RNAcentral describes it as "tRNA-Ala". Lineage: Bacteria; Pseudomonadati; Pseudomonadota; Alphaproteobacteria; Acetobacterales; Acetobacteraceae. The record is from RNAcentral.
CAUGGCAAUGGGGUGCUGGCUGGCGAAUCUGCCCUGCUGGCGUCAGGGCGCAAAGGCAUGAUCCUGCAUCCGACCAUGA